UACGUAGGGGGCAAGCGUUGUCCGGAAUUAUUGGGCGUAAAGCGCGUGUAGGCGGUCCGGUAAGUCGGUUGUGAAAGCCCGGGGCUCAACCCCGGGUCGGCCGUGCGGACUGCGGGGCUCGAGCACUGUAGGGGCAGAUGGAAUUCCGGGUGUAGCGGUGGAAUGCGUAGAGAUCCGGAAGAACACCGGUGGCGAAGGCGGUCUGCUGGGCAGUAGCUGACGCUGAGGCGCGACAGCGUGGGGAGCAAACAGG
RNAcentral lists this ribosomal RNA (253 nucleotides) under uncultured bacterium. Its description in RNAcentral is "partial 16S ribosomal RNA". It matches the Rfam family "Bacterial small subunit ribosomal RNA", at positions 524 to 776 of the family's 1533-position model. The record is from RNAcentral.